This 452-nucleotide ribosomal RNA is filed under the name uncultured Sphingobacteriales bacterium. RNAcentral describes it as "bacterial SSU rRNA". It matches the Rfam family "Bacterial small subunit ribosomal RNA", at positions 342 to 791 of the family's 1533-position model. The record is from RNAcentral. Lineage: Bacteria; Pseudomonadati; Bacteroidota; Sphingobacteriia; Sphingobacteriales.
CGGGGGGCAGCAGUAAGGAAUAUUGGUCAAUGGAGGCAACUCUGAACCAGCCAUGCCGCGUGCAGGAUGAAGGCCCUAUGGGUCGUAAACUGCUUUUAUACAAGAGAAAACCUCAGUACGUGUACUGAGCUGAUAGUAUUGUAAGAAUAAGCAUCGGCUAACUUCGUGCCAGCAGCCGCGGUAAGACGAAGGAUGCAAGCGUUAUCCGGAUUCAUUGGGUUUAAAGGGUGCGUAGGCGGACUUGUAAGUCAGUGGUGAAAUCUCUUUGCUUAACAAAGAAACUGCCAUUGAUACUGCAGGUCUAGAGUAUAGAUGACGUUGGCGGAAUAUGACAUGUAGUGGUGAAAUACUUAGAUAUGUCAUAGAACACCGAUUGCGAAGGCAGCUAACGAAACUAUAACUGACGCUGAGGCACGAAAGUGCGGGGAUCAAACAGGAUUAGAUACCCCAGU